GAAUCUUCCGCAAUGGACGAAAGUCUGACGGAGCAACGCCGCGUGAGUGAGGAAGGUUUUCGGAUCGUAAAGCUCUGUUGCCAGGGAAGAACGGCUAAGAGAGGAACUGCUCUUAGUGUGACGGUACCUGAGAAGAAAGCCCCGGCUAACUACGUGCCAGCAGCCGCGGUAAUACGUAGGGGGCAAGCGUUGUCCGGAAUUAUUGGGCGUAAAGCGCGCGCAGGCGGUCGUUUAAGUCUGGUGUAUAAGCUCAGGGCUCAACCUUGGGAGGCACCGGAAACUGGGCGACUGGAGUACAGGAGAGGAAAGUGGAAUUCCACGUGUAGCGGUGAAAUGCGUAGAGAUGUGGAGGAACACCAGUGGCGAAGGCGACUUUCUGGCCUGAAACUGACGCUGAGGCGCGAAAGCGUGGGGAGCAAAC
This 421-nucleotide ribosomal RNA is filed under the name uncultured bacterium. Its description in RNAcentral is "bacterial SSU rRNA". It matches the Rfam family "Bacterial small subunit ribosomal RNA", at positions 359 to 773 of the family's 1533-position model. The record is from RNAcentral.